Long non-coding RNA from Hippocampus zosterae (dwarf seahorse), 438 nucleotides. RefSeq lists it as uncharacterized. The transcript has 3 exons. Lineage: Eukaryota; Metazoa; Chordata; Actinopteri; Syngnathiformes; Syngnathidae. The record is from RefSeq and is a predicted model, not a curated record.
CGACUUCUGACAACGCGGAAGCUGUCGGCCAAUCGCAGGAGUGAGCGCGCGUUGGAGCGCCGUAGGCCACGCCCACAAACCAGCUGCUUCUCAGCCUCAGUUCGGGCUCACCACACUGGAUUCGGCUUUUUUUAAUGCCCUCCAUUUGUUCUUUUGAAUUCCUGCUCCAAUGUCCAACGUCAUUUUUUUACUUCGUUUGGGACAAGUCAUUCGGAAGGGGAAAGAAAGGAGACGAUAUGAUGCCAAAUGUCCACCUCUGAUUGGAAGGUCCGGCACAUCACUGAACAUAGAAAUUGCCCAACGUUCGGUAACGUCAGUGCUGACAAAGAGUCAGACUACUGCUGAAAAUUUCUCCUUCUGCACCAUUGACCAAAAAUGAAAGCAGAGUGCCCAUUCCGGACCGGCACUGUGAUUUCCUCUGUCAGCUCCACAAACCAA